RNAcentral lists this ribosomal RNA (496 nucleotides) under uncultured bacterium. Its description in RNAcentral is "partial 16S ribosomal RNA". It matches the Rfam family "Bacterial small subunit ribosomal RNA", at positions 28 to 506 of the family's 1533-position model. The record is from RNAcentral.
GACGAACGCUGGCGGCGUGCCUAAUACAUGCAAGUUGAGCGAUGAAGCUUGGUGCUUGCACCAAUUUGAAGAGCAGCGAACGGGUGAGUAACGCGUGGGGAAUCUGCCUUUGAGCGGGGGACAACAUUUGGAAACGAAUGCUAAUACCGCAUAACAACUUUAAACAUAAGUUUUAAGUUUGAAAGAUGCAAUUGCAUCACUCAAAGAUGAUCCCGCGUUGUAUUAGCUAGUUGGUGAGGUAAAGGCUCACCAAGGCGAUGAUACAUAGCCGACCUGAGAGGGUGAUCGGCCACAUUGGGACUGAGACACGGCCCAAACUCCUACGGGAGGCAGCAGUAGGGAAUCUUCGGCAAUGGACGAAAGUCUGACCGAGCAACGCCGCGUGAGUGAAGAAGGUUUUCGGAUCGUAAAACUCUGUUGGUAGAGAAGAACGUUGGUGAGAGUGGAAAGCUCAUCAAGGGACGGUAACUACCCAGAAAGGGACGGCUAACUACGG